UCAUUAUAGCCACGUCGAGCGAAGAUUAUAAUUAUAAGAGGACAAUGGAGAUUACUGAAGAAGAAAGUUGUUCAUCGUAUCCACCUUGUGUUCCUACCAAUAAAACAUCAAGGUCUGAUGAAUGGAUAUGGCAUUACUUUACAAUAUAUAACGGUGAAUUUAUCAAAUGCGAUAUU
Nylanderia fulva is the source of this 176-nucleotide non-coding RNA. Lineage: Eukaryota; Metazoa; Arthropoda; Insecta; Hymenoptera; Formicidae. The record is from RefSeq and is a predicted model, not a curated record.